This is a long non-coding RNA of Erigeron canadensis, 1298 nucleotides long. RefSeq lists it as uncharacterized. The record is from RefSeq and is a predicted model, not a curated record. NCBI's taxonomy places the organism in Eukaryota, Viridiplantae, Streptophyta, Magnoliopsida, Asterales, Asteraceae. The transcript is spliced from 2 exons.
AUAUAUCUUAAUUAAGAUAUAAACAUAUGUAUAUAUAUGUUUCGAUAGAUUAAGGUAGCUCAUAAUAAUAUGUAACAGAACAAUGAGUGCCAAAAGCAAUCUACAUUUUGACUGUUACUUAUGUACAUAUGUAUUGAAUAUUGAUAGAUAUGUUUUAAAGUAAAAGUUGCAGUUGCUUAGAAAAUUCUAUGAAUAAAUUUUGGGCACUCAGUAGUAUUUCUCCUUUUGAUUUACAUGCAUCUCAAAAGAGGGAUAGAAGUUUUUAGUGGACAUGCUUUUAGUGUGGGGUAAAAGGCUUCUCUAAAGGCAAAGAGUUGUUUUAGUGGAAUUUGAAGUCUGAAGUUUACUUUUGACAUAUAAGAGCAUAUGAUUCUAGACUUCUGGUAUUGGACCAAGGAGGAGAAAAUGGAGGUAAUGGAAGUGUAAGGUUCACAAGUUCAGAAGAUAAGAUGUAUCUUGUGAAUAGUUGUGAUGUCCUAUUUCAACUUGAAUUUUUUGGGAUCAAGUCGAUUUCCACACAAGAAAAGGUUCUGUGAAUUCAUUUUCAUAAUCUUGAGGAGGCAAUAUCAGAUAAUGUGUCUAGGGGAGUUCUGGUUGAAACAAGUCAAUUUUUAGUACGGGUCAAAACAAGUUUAGACCGAACAGAAUAGCCCCUCAAAUGGGAGUUGCAAUGAUGGGAACACCCCCUUCGGCCCCAAGGGGCAUUCCCGUCCAGUUUUUUUUCUCUCCCUUCUGAUUUUAAACGGGCUUUCCUCUUUCUUCUUUUUCAGACUUUCUCUAACUUUUUGACGAGUGGGAAGCAAGAAUUGAAAUGUUUUAGAUGUAUGAGAAUAAAAAUAAUAAUUAAAAAAAAAUAAGGGAAUGUCUCUUAAUGAAAUGUUCUACUCCUAAGGAAUGGGGGAAUGCCCCUUAUGAUUAGUGUUAGACACGUGUCAUGUAAAGAGUGGAGGAGGGGCAUCCCCUUAAUGCGAGUCUUAGCGUCUCUGCCAAUCUUGAUGUAAUAACUAAUCAACAUAAAUAGGAACAUGUCUUAUCUUACUUCGUUUAUAUUAUUGCAGUAACUGCCAUGAAGAAAGUAUUGGAUAGCAAUUAGCAUUCAGCAAAACAGUGUUUAACUGUUGAAUAUUGGUUUAAUCUUUUAAACGAUAGUUAAUAUGUGUAAUUGCUAUGUUGUUAUUGUCCUACAUAUGGGCUAAUGUUUUCUUGCACAUUGGGUUCGAUUUUUCAUCAUUUGAUUUGGGUUUAAAAAGAUGUAGGCAUUUGUUGAAGCUUAUCUCAUGCUCAUUUGAUUUUUUCUA